GGUCAAGGUGUUGUAUCCAGUAGAGCAGUGUUUGUAUACUGCGAUCUGUUGAGACUAUCCUAUGAUCGGGUGUUU
Molecule: ribosomal RNA, 75 nt
Filed under: Cyathostomum pateratum
Lineage: Eukaryota; Metazoa; Nematoda; Chromadorea; Rhabditida; Strongylidae
Also listed under: 15 other names
Description: partial 26S ribosomal RNA
Source: RNAcentral